RNAcentral lists this ribosomal RNA (442 nucleotides) under uncultured bacterium. RNAcentral describes it as "partial 16S ribosomal RNA". It matches the Rfam family "Bacterial small subunit ribosomal RNA", at positions 338 to 795 of the family's 1533-position model. The record is from RNAcentral.
CCUACGGGCGGCAGCAGUGGGGAAUAUUGGGCAAUGGGCGCAAGCCUGACCCAGCAACGCCGCGUGAAGGAAGAAGGCUUUCGGGUUGUAAACUUCUUUUGACAGGGAAGAGUAGAAGACGGUACCUGUCGAAUAAGCCACGGCCAACUACGUGCCAGCAGCCGCGGUAAUACGUAGGUGGCAAGCGUUGUCCGGAUUUACUGGGGGUAAAGGGCGUGUAGCCGGGUUGACAAGUCAGAUGUGAAAUCCUGCGGCUUAACCGCAGAACUGCAUUUGAAACUGUUGAUCUUGAGUGCUGGAGAGGCAGGCGGAAUGCCUGGUGUAGCGGUGAAAUGCGUAGAUAUUAGGAAGAACACCGAUGGCGAAGGCGGUCUGCUGGACAGCAACUGACGGUGAGGCGCGAAAGCGUGGGGAGCGAACAGGAUUAGAUACCCCUGUAGUC